Molecule: ribosomal RNA, 465 nt
Filed under: Vreelandella stevensii
Lineage: Bacteria; Pseudomonadati; Pseudomonadota; Gammaproteobacteria; Oceanospirillales; Halomonadaceae
Description: partial 16S ribosomal RNA
Rfam family: Bacterial small subunit ribosomal RNA
Source: RNAcentral
CCUACGGGCGGCAGCAGUGGGGAAUAUUGGACAAUGGGCGAAAGCCUGAUCCAGCCAUGCCGCGUGUGUGAAGAAGGCCUUCGGGUUGUAAAGCACUUUCAGUGGGGAAGAAAGCCUUGGGGCUAAUACCCUCGAGGAAGGACAUCACCCACAGAAGAAGCACCGGCUAACUCCGUGCCAGCAGCCGCGGUAAUACGGAGGGUGCGAGCGUUAAUCGGAAUUACUGGGCGUAAAGCGCGCGUAGGCGGUCUGAUAAGCCGGUUGUGAAAGCCCCGGGCUCAACCUGGGAACGGCAUCCGGAACUGUCAGGCUAGAGUGCAGGAGAGGAAGGUAGAAUUCCCGGGGUAGCGGUGAAAUGCGUAGAGAUCGGGAGGAAUACCAGUGGCGAAGGCGGCCUUCUGGACUGACACUGACGCUGAGGUGCGAAAGCGUGGGUAGCAAACAGGAUUAGAUACCCUAGUAGUC